Molecule: long non-coding RNA, 1694 nt
Organism: Bicyclus anynana (squinting bush brown)
Lineage: Eukaryota; Metazoa; Arthropoda; Insecta; Lepidoptera; Nymphalidae
Exons: 2
Source: RefSeq, a predicted model, not a curated record
AUUCUCUCAGAGUCCAAGUCUCAGCAUCCUAUAUAAAUCGAUUAAUAGCACUCAAUUAACUUCAUUGUUUUGACUUUAUAGGUUCAUUGCAAAGAAUAUAUUAUUUAUUACUCUUUUUAACAGAGUUCAUUGUUUACAAACAAAACACUUCGCAAAGUUUCGUCCUAAAAAUGCUAACUGUGGACGGGGAGACUGAAUUGAGAGAUUUAGAAUGCAAAAAAAUAUUAAUUUUAGAUAUUUAAUAAAAUAUAAAUUAUUAUUUUGGACAUCCACAAUUUGUCCGUUUUACGAUCAAAGGUGACUCAAGACCCAUCGUAAGUUUUUGACAUAAGCCAUGAACAUAAAACUUUACACAAUUCGAAGACAAUCGCAAAUAACUGUCAAAUCUUAACAAAUCAUUCACUCUUCGUAUAAAAAUAACGAUCUAAUCGUAAUGAACUAACUAUGCCCAACCGAUGGCUUUCCAUUGGCUUACACAAUCCGAAAUAGCCGUUUGACAAGUAAAAACGUACGAUUUCAACUGUCAAAUUCAAUCGUUUGCGUUAGACAAUUAGGCCCCAGGGGCCUAAUUGUCUAACGGACUUCAUUGAUCGUAAAGUUCUUACGAUCGGCUACGAUCAACGAUCAAUCGUAACUUUACAUUGGUAUUGUCUAAUUUAGUUCAUUAUAUGAAGACCGGAUGGUGAACGAUGAACUGAAAUCAUUCAUGAAGAUUGCGUAUUGUUUAUGCAAAACGAUAGUGAAACUAUCGUUAAUAAUAUUAUCAAAUUUAAGUCAAACUCCAUAAUAAUGCAUAUAUUUUAACAAAGUUUUAUGUCUUUUGUUUAAAACAUUAAAGAAACAUUAAAUUUCACGACAAAUAUCUACUAUUGAAGACAAUAGCGUGAGAAAAUGGUACAUGCAACUCAAGUAACAAAACGCAAUUAACGAAUUUAACCAAGGGCUAUUUGGACUAUUUGGUAAUCUCCCUGUUGUCUGUGUAGGCUAGUGUCAAAAUAACGGGGUAUCCUAUUAGUCUGUGGUGAAACAUAGCAUAUUAAUAACCUGUGGAUUAGAAAUUUAAAUUUUAUAAACAAAACAAAAUUUUUAUUUUUCAGGUUUUAAAGAGAAUUUAGAAAUUGAGCAAAGUUUUACUAAAUUAUAGUGAUCUUAGGAGCAAAGUUUACUUCGUUUGUGUUAUUGUUAAUCAAAAAUAUAAAAGUAAACAAAAAAGAAAAACUACCUCUAUCUAAUUUUGUCGAUGUCCAUUUCUUAAGAAGUUUCUCAUUAAAACAACCCUUAACUCAGGCAAGGCAGGGCUAAGGUGGUUAGCGUAACUACAAGUGGUUAACUUACAGUUAGCCAACUGAAGAACAAUCAACAAUGCCCGAUUAAUAAGUGAUCGCGCUGCUUGUCUACUACAUGUCCCUGCUGCUAGUUAUAGCAGUAAUUUCUUUGUUUGGAAGUAUUUAGCACAUCCGGGCUGCGCAAAAGGAGAGAACUAAAUUGAUUAUUAUGAACAGACCAUUAUGAUGAACCACUGAUAUUGACUCAGAGACAUGAAGAUGAGUGCUUUGACAACAAGACUGACUAGCUGAGCCAGCUUAACAAUUAUGUGGUGUGUGUGUGUGUCUAAUUCCAGGAGCUCUCUAUGUCAGCCAUCCAUCUAUAUUCUUACUCAUUUUUGUUAAUUAUAAAAUAAAUUUGAUUAUUUA